CGCCGGACGCGGGCGCCCUCGCGCCUUAUACGGAAGCCUUGCAAUCAGUCUGCUCUCUCGAAGCGGGCGACGCUUGACUGAUGCUGGGAGAUGGCCCUCUAGAAGCGCCUGACCAGCAGCGGCCGUGCUUGCGAGCGCGGCCGUCCACAGAUCAUGUUCGAGCGGUCCCUGAGGAUUAUGAUAUGACCGGUCCCGCCCUGCAAACGGGCGGGAGACUCGUUCCGUAGGUGCAAGAGUUCGCCUACCGCAUGCCACAUGCGCGGUCUGCACCCGAGGGUGCAGGCAACACCGUUCAAAUGCUGGGCGUGCCGGGCGCAAGUCCGUCACCAUCAGCAGCCGGCGCUUCGGCGCCCGGUUCACAGAUCAUCCGACGGUGACCUAUCGAGGUUAAGAUAUGAUCGGUCCCGGCCCGCUCUGGGCCUUGGGAGGCACGGAACCUGCGGAAGGAUCAUUA
Molecule: ribosomal RNA, 454 nt
Filed under: Heterodermia isidiophora
Lineage: Eukaryota; Fungi; Ascomycota; Lecanoromycetes; Caliciales; Physciaceae
Description: partial 18S ribosomal RNA
Source: RNAcentral